UGUGCCUGUAUCACUCACGCUGCGUCUUCCAGGAAGGAACUUAAAUCUAUUUGUGCGAGAGUGUGUGUGUGUUUUUCUCUUCUUAAACCUU
Long non-coding RNA from Poecilia latipinna (sailfin molly), 91 nucleotides. RefSeq lists it as uncharacterized. The record is from RefSeq and is a predicted model, not a curated record. The transcript is spliced from 3 exons. NCBI's taxonomy places the organism in Eukaryota, Metazoa, Chordata, Actinopteri, Cyprinodontiformes, Poeciliidae.